Zingiber officinale is the source of this 231-nucleotide long non-coding RNA. RefSeq lists it as uncharacterized. The record is from RefSeq and is a predicted model, not a curated record. The transcript has 3 exons. NCBI's taxonomy places the organism in Eukaryota, Viridiplantae, Streptophyta, Magnoliopsida, Zingiberales, Zingiberaceae.
CAAAAGCGAUACACUCUCCAUUGAAAGUAAGAACCAAAGGUCGUCCACCCACAAAGAGAAAACAAUCUAAGGUUGAACAAAUUGUGAAGAAAUCAUUUGCAAAGGCCCGAAAGAAGCUAUGAGUACUGGUUUUUUGGCUGACGAUGGAAUGAAAAUUCAGGUAGAAAUUGCAAGUAUAAUGGUAUAAGGCUUUGUUUUCCAUUUCCAUGCAAUUUGUGGUUUAUUCCAGUG